This 73-nucleotide transfer RNA is filed under the name Nephila pilipes (giant wood spider). It matches the Rfam family "tRNA". Rfam says of the family: Transfer RNA (tRNA) molecules are approximately 80 nucleotides in length. Their secondary structure includes four short double-helical elements and three loops (D, anti-codon, and T loops). Further hydrogen bonds mediate the characteristic L-shaped molecular structure. tRNAs have two regions of fundamental functional importance: the anti-codon, which is responsible for specific mRNA codon recognition, and the 3' end, to which the tRNAs corresponding amino acid is attached (by aminoacyl-tRNA synthetases). tRNAs cope with the degeneracy of the genetic code in two manners: having more than one tRNA (with a specific anti-codon) for a particular amino acid; and 'wobble' base-pairing, i.e. permitting non-standard base-pairing at the 3rd anti-codon position. The record is from Rfam by way of RNAcentral. Lineage: Eukaryota; Metazoa; Arthropoda; Arachnida; Araneae; Nephilidae.
GUACCGAUGGUGUAGUGGUUAUCACAUCUGCUUAACACGCAGAAGGUCCAAGUUUCGCAACCUGGUUUGUACA